UAAAUUCUCAUAUACCAAUCCAAUUCCAUGGUCUCUGAAGUUCAAAAGUUAAGUAUCAAUUACAGAUAAUCUGAACCCCUUGGAAUUACUGAGUCACACAAAGGAGGAUUACCCACUCAAAUGUUAUAGACAAUCUUUGGAUCAUCUACCCUCCUUCCAUGUGACAUACAAAAUAGAUACUAGGUCCAUUCUGUACUCUUGCAAACAUUUAGCAUUAUGCUCAGACUAUGUUCACUGUAAUACUUUUAGUUGUUCACAACAAACACUUCAUUCUACAUAUGCUUCUUGUUAAGGAGUAACAAUGUCAGUCGACUUUGGACAACUACAGCAUUGGCGAUGAAGUUGAAAAUUCAAUCUUGGUCAGAGGCAAAUAACCCUCAAGAUAUACCAAGGGGACUAAUUGCCAAGCUGUCAAACCAUAAAGCAACAACCUACCAACCAAACAUAGAAAAACAUUAAGAACACAUGACAUAAAUGCAGAACAACUGAGUGAUGCCCUUUACCAAAGCCACAAGAAAACAGCCAUUGAGCACCCAAAGGUAUCGAGGCUUAUCCCUGCAAGUGUAGAUUCACUAUUCAUCUCAACUCAAUGAGGGAAGAGCUUAAUCAACAAAAAGGAAGCUACCUAAAUCCUAGGCAAGAAGAACUUUGUGAUAAGUUUGAAAGGGACAUAUGCUAUGAGAUCAUGCAGCUAUCACUGCUUUCUCACAUCUACAACAAAAGUGUGCGCAGCAAGCAAGGAACUUGAAGUUUCGAUUUGUUCCUCCCAUGAAGUUUCGAUUUGGCCAAGGAACAUCACCCAUGUAUGGGGACUACGAGGCCCAGAGGCACUAGAUGGAGAUCACUCUCCACACGCCGAUCGUUGAGUGGUACCACAACACCGCAGCAAACAACCUCUCCUAUUGGGGCCUCUGCUACUCACCGCUUACCAGAGUUUCACCGUGCCUUCCUCAUCAACGCUUCCAUUCCUGAAUCCUUUGCCCUCUCUCCCUCCCGUGGAUUCGAGUCCCAUAAAUCGAAGCUGGCAAUGCGAUGGAUAGUGUUGUCUUCGACUCUUCGGACUUGCUUGUGCUUUUUCCAGCAGCCAUCUACUUUGUAUCAGUUUAUUUUUAGAGCAAUGUUGGCAAGGAUGCGAAGGAAUGGUCUUCCCCGUGGUUUCUAGCGAUGAUCUUACUGAAUCCUUGCCCGAUCCUCAUUGAUCAUGGACAUUUUCAGGAUGUUGUGCCUCCUUACUUGACUAGGUGCUAUUUACUUACGUCUAUACAUUGAGGUAGGCGUACAUCAUAUGGUCUUGACGUAGCUGAAGAUUCGGUUGGGUUCAUUCGAUUAGAAGUACUGGUUUGAUUGUUUUAUUUUCAAGUCUGGUUAUUAAUUGUAAAUAUUUUCUUCCUAGGGAGAUCAGUAAGUGUUCUUGUAUUAUUUGUUGAUUCAUUAAGUUUAAUUGCAUUCCUGAGUCUUCUUCUAAUUCUAUUUCAAGUGUAGAAGUGGGUUGAUAUCCAGAAAACCGGAUAGAAAGUUGGUUUUUACAGUCUUUAUACAUAAGAGAAGAAAUGAAUUUUAAAGUAGCAUCUGGAUUUUGUAAAUUAAUAGUCCAUUCAAGUCCAGCUAAAGUUUCAGAAUUAUAUUCUCUGGGUUUAAGAAAUGUAUUCCUUUGGUUGUUAAUGCUUCAAUCAUAUCUGUAACGGAUACUUUAAAGUGGUUAUGCAUGUGAUUCAUUGUUUUUUCGAAGAAUAUGAUAUCUAAUUGGAGAUUAUCUCCUUGGAAUUGGUCAUAACCUUUUGCCUACACAUGAAUUUGUAUAUGUUUUAUAAAGUCUCUUAUAGUCAUAUUAAAAUUGCGGCAUAAGUAAUUCCUAAGUUUGCAUUCAUCUCGACUUCUAGUAGUUCAAUGAUUGCUUUUUCAGUAUCAGAAAAAUGAGUGUCAUGUAAGACUAAUAACACUUUUCUUCCUACUUUGCCCUUGUUAAGCCUCGUAGACCAAACACAAUAAGUCCAAGAUGGAUGUAAUUAUGCUUUCUUAGGUAUAAAGUUUUUGCUGUCUCUUCUGUCAUUAGACCAAGUUUCACUUCUACCCCAUCAGGGACGUGAAGAGCUUCCUGUCUAUGAUAUUUAUAGACCGAUGUUGAAAAAUUUAGAAUACCUUGACUGUAAAGUUUCUUAGGAUUUAAAGUAUUUAGCUGUUCAUUUGAAAAAAUCGUAAGAUCUUUAUCAACGGCUAUUAUUUAUUCAAGUCGAAGAGGUCCUAAAGAAGAAGUGAUAUUUCUCUUGGUUAUAGAAUCUAUCCAGGAGGAGGAAGUAUUAACUUCCAUUAAUCUAAUAGCUCUGGAAGGUCCAAAGAAGGUUUCAGUUUUUGUCAGACUCAUUGGGUUUAUAUGUUAAGAAUUUAAAAGUGACAAGUGGAAGUUUAUGAAUAGUUUUACCAAGAGACAACUGACUUAAAUCUUUAUUUAGUUUAGCAAACGCUUCUUGAAAUUCACUAUAACGCCAAGUUGCUGAAGCGGACGUUUCCAUAUGUAACAAUGUAGUUUCAAUUACAAUAAAUCUGUAAUGUAAAGAAGUAAGAAGAGCAAUAAUGGUAUUAUUUUGUUGAACUUGUAUUUGAUCACCUUUUCCGGGUAGUUCUAAUUUACAGUUGUCGUCUUCUUUUGUUGUAGAGUACUGUUUAGUAUAUUCUACAGCAUCUUCAUAGUGGGAGUUUUCGUAUUUCAACUGGUUCAUUUAUAUUUAAGUUCAUCUAAUAAGUGCAGUAUGUUAUCUAAUUUGUUGUAUAAUUGAGUUUUAUUACUAACAAUAAGAUCUUUUGACUGCAGUAAAAGUUGUUGUGAGGAUGUUUCUGGUUCUACAAGCUUUUGAGAAGAAGGUUUUCUUGUUAAGAGAUUAAUAGAAGUUUUUACAUAAUCAAGAUUUCUUAGGAGUUCCGAUAAAAGUUGUUGUUGGAACAAAGUGGUUUUGAAAGUUUCUAAUUUAUUUGUUAGGGACUAACCAUGGCCUUCUAGAGAAAGUCCUUGACUAAGAAGGAAAUCAGUGAUAGAAUUUAAAUGUACUUGAUAUGAA
Zingiber officinale is the source of this 3053-nucleotide long non-coding RNA. RefSeq lists it as uncharacterized. Lineage: Eukaryota; Viridiplantae; Streptophyta; Magnoliopsida; Zingiberales; Zingiberaceae. The transcript is spliced from 4 exons. The record is from RefSeq and is a predicted model, not a curated record.